UACGUAGGGUGCAAGCGUUGUCCGGAAUUAUUGGGCGUAAAGGGCUCGUAGGCGGUCCAUCGCGUCGGGCGUGAAAAGCUGGGGCUCAACCCCAGUCCUGCUUCCGAUACGGGUGGACUAGAGGUAGGCAGGGGAGAACGGAAUUCCUGGUGUAGCGGUGAAAUGCGCAGAUAUCAGGAGGAACACCGGUGGCGAAGGCGGAUCUCUGGGCCAUUACUGACGCUGAGGAGCGAAAGCGUGGGGAGCGAACAGG
Molecule: ribosomal RNA, 253 nt
Filed under: uncultured bacterium
Lineage: Bacteria
Description: partial 16S ribosomal RNA
Rfam family: Bacterial small subunit ribosomal RNA
Source: RNAcentral